This 497-nucleotide ribosomal RNA is filed under the name uncultured bacterium. RNAcentral describes it as "partial 16S ribosomal RNA". It matches the Rfam family "Bacterial small subunit ribosomal RNA", at positions 28 to 507 of the family's 1533-position model. The record is from RNAcentral.
GAUGAACGCUGGCGGCGUGCCUAAUACAUGCAAGUCGAGCGAACAGACGAGGAGCUUGCUCCUCUGACGUUAGCGGCGGACGGGUGAGUAACACGUGGAUAACCUACCUAUAAGACUGGGAUAACUUCGGGAAACCGGAGCUAAUACCGGAUAAUAUAUUGAACCGCAUGGUUCAAUAGUGAAAGACGGUUUUGCUGUCACUUAUCGAUGGAUCCGCGCCGCAUUAGCUAGUUGGUAAGGUAACGGCUUACCAAGGCAACGAUGCGUAGCCGACCUGAGAGGGUGAUCGGCCACACUGGAACUGAGACACGGUCCAGACUCCUACGGGAGGCAGCAGUAGGGAAUCUUCCGCAAUGGGCGAAAGCCUGACGGAGCAACGCAGCGUGAGUGAUGAAGGUCUUCGGAUCGUAAAACUCUGUUAUUAGGGAAGAACAAAUGUGUAAGUAACUAUGCACGUCUUGACGGUACCUAAGCAGAAAGCCACGGCUAACUACGUG